GACGAACGCUGGCGGCGUGCUUAACACAUGCAAGUCGAGCGGAAAGGCCACUUCGGUGGUACUCGAGCGGCGAACGGGUGAGUAACACGUGAGUAAUCUGCCCCUGGCUUUGGGAUAGCCACCGGAAACGGUGAUUAAUACCGGAUACGACCACUUCUCGCAUGGGAUGGUGGUGGAAAGUUUUUUCGGCCAGGGAUGUGCUCGCGGCCUAUCAGCUUGAUGGUGAGGUAAUGGCUCACCAUGGCUUCGACGGGUAGCCGGCCUGAGAGGGUGACCGGUCACACUGGGACUGAGACACGGCCCAGACUCCUACGGGAGGCAGCAGUGGGGAAUAUUGGACAAUGGGCGGAAGCCUGAUCCAGCAACGCCGCGUGAGGGAUGACGGCCUGCGGGUUGUAAACCUCUUUCAGCAGGGACGAAGCGUAAGUGACGGUACCUGCAGAAGAAGCACCGGCCAACUACGUGCCAGCCGCCGCAGUAA
RNAcentral lists this ribosomal RNA (481 nucleotides) under uncultured bacterium. Its description in RNAcentral is "partial 16S ribosomal RNA". It matches the Rfam family "Bacterial small subunit ribosomal RNA", at positions 28 to 523 of the family's 1533-position model. The record is from RNAcentral.